Molecule: long non-coding RNA, 1485 nt
Organism: Symphalangus syndactylus (siamang)
Lineage: Eukaryota; Metazoa; Chordata; Mammalia; Primates; Hylobatidae
Source: RefSeq, a predicted model, not a curated record
GGCCAUAUGACUAGUGCUGACCAAUGGACUGUGAACAGAAAUGACAGCAUCACUCCCAUGGAGACUCUUCCAUCUCUGUCUUCCCUGUUGUGACAAUCUCAGAGGCUACGUUCUUUCAAUGGCUGGGCUACAAGAUGGUGAAAGGCUGCCCAGCCUGACACAGCAAGAAGGCAGCCAUCUGCAAACCAGAAAGAGAGCCCUCACCAGGAACCGGAUCUGCUGGCACCUUGAUCUUGGACUUCCCAGCCUUUAGAGCUGUGAGAAAUGUCACCCCCAGGUCAAUGGGAUAUUUGUUAUAGCACCAGGUACUGCCUGAGAACUCUACCUUUAGGGAGCCUGCAUGCUGGGUCCCUGGGGAGACAAUGAAGGUGCUUGACACCCAGUUUGAAUAUUGGGUCACUGCAAAGCUGACUGCUGCUGAAGGACAGCCAGUGAGAGGUCAUGGCAAGCCAUCAGAAGAAGCAGAAGUCACGAGCAGGCUGAAGCUAUGAGGCCAAGACAAAAUGACACAUUGCCACAAGAAGAGGGACAAACAUGCAACAGGCAGAGCCCACGGGAAUCAGUAAUCUUCUGCUACCACUGAGGCCUGGGGACUAACUCAGAUCCAGUACUACUCUCUUGGGGCCUGUUCUGACUCCAGCUCCUGUCCUUGGGGUCCCCUGAGAUCCCUGUAGCCUUGUAAUAAGCCCACAUUAUCAUAUUUCCCUUGCUGGCUCCACCCUAGAGCAUUUCCAACAAUUUCCAGUGCUUUUCCCCUUCUCACACCACUGGGCCCUUGCACGUGCUAGUGCCUCCCCAACUUGCCCUGCCUUCUCCUUCACCCAGACAACUCCUACUAAAUCUCUCAGACUCCUCAGCUGUGUCCCUUCCUAGGGGAGGACUCUCCUCCCUCCAGUGAGCCCGGUGGUCCUCCCUGGGAUCCCCUGCUCCUUGUCUUCCCUGCCGUCCUUACUGCUGUCCUUGUUCUCUACUCAGAAGGAGGCAGAGGCUGGCCUGCCCCCACUCCCCUGUAGACUGACCAGAUGAAUUGACCUGGGCUGGGCAGGGCAAGCAUGUUUCACCAAUUGUCUGGGCACCCUAUGACUCAGUCAAGUUGACACAUAAAGUUCACUGCUCCAGGGCCCCUUUAUUGUAUUUGUCUAUGAAUAAAAAACAGCAUCAACUCCAGGUAUCUGAGGGUUCUGGAGGCAGUUCUGUGAUCCCUUUUUACAGAUGAGGAUGCGGAGGCCUGGCUGUCACUCACCCAGAUCACACUUUCAUCUGCUGAUGGAAGGAGUAUUUGAUGGGAUGUGUGAGCCCGGCCAUCUCCCUCGGGACACAUUCAGCUCAUUAAAUUUGCCAGCCCCUGCCUGAAAAAGUGUUUAAUUUGCCUUUUACAAUGCACUGAUUUUAAGUUAAUUAACUGGCAAUUGAAAGUUAUAGGUGGCAUUAGAAUUUAUUAAUAACAUUGGAAAUAAAUCUCCCUGGAAUUCAAUUAAUUGAAAA